RNAcentral lists this unclassified non-coding RNA (270 nucleotides) under fungal sp. RNAcentral describes it as "partial internal transcribed spacer region". The stretch from base 1 to 46 matches the Rfam family "Eukaryotic small subunit ribosomal RNA", at positions 1786 to 1831 of the family's 1831-position model. The record is from RNAcentral. Lineage: Eukaryota; Fungi.
AAGUCGUAACAAGGUUUCCGUAGGUGAACCUGCGGAAGGAUCAUUAUUGAAUGAAUCUAGAGUUGGUUUGUCGCUGGCCCCCCAAUUGGGCAUGUGCACGCCUUCUCUCCUUCAUCCACACACACACACCUGUGCACUUGUGAGACGGAGGAUUUGAAAAAAAAGUCCUCUGUCUACUAAUCACACACAAACUCAAUUGUACUUGAACUGAAUGUAAUUGAUGUAACACAUCAUUGGAACAAAGUUUCAACAACGGAUCUCUUGGCUCUC